Leptopilina boulardi is the source of this 1457-nucleotide RNA transcript. It is a transcript of the gene named E3 ubiquitin-protein ligase RNF170, with no coding region annotated. The transcript has 7 exons. Lineage: Eukaryota; Metazoa; Arthropoda; Insecta; Hymenoptera; Figitidae. The record is from RefSeq and is a predicted model, not a curated record.
UCUUCAGUUGCUUUGAAAUACCUCUUGUAUGAUACUGUGAUUCUGAUAAGAAAUUUUCUGAACUACAUUUAUUCUUCUCUUUAAAUCAGUGAAAAAGCUUUCAGCGCCUCUGUUCGGAAUUUAUAGUUACUUAUUUGAAGUACCUCCUUGAAUAUUCUGUAUUUCUGAUAUAAAAUUUUAGAAGUGAAUUAUUCGAUAAUUUUAUUUUCAAAACUACAUAACCUUAUUUUAUUGUUAUUAUUUUUUUUUUUUUAAGUGUUUAAGUGAUAAAGUGAUUGCAAAUCUAAUGAUUUAUAAUAUGUCUGAAACGAAUGGAAACAAUUAAUUAAAAAGGACUAUCGGUUAUAAAAAAAAGAAGUUAUAGCAAUAAAACAAUGGAAUUAACUCUUCAAAAUAUCACAAGGAUCACAAGUUUCUAAAUCCACAUUGAACAGGUCAUUUCUACAGGGAAUGAGUCAUUUGCCAAGCCAAAACGAUUUACACGUGUACGAGAUUGAGUGCAAAACACGACACCUGUGCGUGAAUCAUCUGUGUUCAUUUUACCUGAGAAAUGGACCAAUGAACUCGUAAAACAAAAAGAAUAAAAAAAAAAAAAAAAAGAUAUAGUUCAAAACAAUCAAUGAAUCUGUCUGAUUAUUCUGGUGGAAAUACUCUAAUUAUGAUGUUGUCUCAAGGCGAAAUUCCAUUAGUUUGGAAGGGAUACGUAACAAAAAUGUCAAUUAUGGCAUUUGCAUUGGGCACAUAUUUUCUAUUUUUUCGUAAUCGUGAAUUUAAUUCAUUACAAAAUAUAUUUCGAAAAUCAAAAAAAAUUCAAACUAAAAAAAAUGAAUGUUUACAAGAAAAAAAAACAAGCAAAAAAUCAAUGAUCUAUAAUGGGGAAUUGUGUCCAAUAUGUUUGAAUGGUCCACAAUGUGGUGUGAGGGCAUAUUGUGGUCAUUUAUUGUGCGCUACGUGUUUGGAAAGUUAUUGUGAGGCCAGGGAGGUUUCAACCCCACCACCAUGUCCUCUUUGUAGGGCACCCUUGGACUCAGUGACCUUGGCUUGCGAACAGCAAGAAUCAACACUUUCAUUAUCAAAUUAUACAAAAGCUGAGAUAAAUCCCACAGAAAAGACACUUGCUUGGAUUCGUGAAUAUAAUCGUCAUCGGGGACAAAUUAUUCAAAAAAAUUACAAAUAUUCCAAAUCUUAUGUGAAACGCAUUAUUCUUUGUAUUGUUUUUUUAAUUGUUUUCACAAUUAUAACUAUCAUCGAAAGCAAAAUAUAGGAAUUAUCAUGACUGCAAUAACAUUCGUAACAUAUAUAUUUUAUUUCAAUAAUAUUGUAACACUUGGGGAUUUAGAAUAAAAAAAAAAAAAAAAAAAAAAACUUGAAAAUGAAAAUUUUUUAAUUAAAAAAAAGGAAACAUAAAAAUAUCGACAAAAAAUAAUUGUAAAAACAGCAAAUGUAUCAUUUUGUAA